CAGCGAAGAUCUGCAGGCAUCUUCAUCCUCGUAUCCCUCAGGCAGUGUCGUCUCCUCAUAGUCCGCAGGGGAGCUCCAGAGGUCAGGCGGUGUCACUUUCUAUUUGUUUGUGUCUCUGGGUGUUGUGCAAGGCGGCCUGAGGAGAGGCGAGAGAGUGUUUAACUGUUCAUCGGACAACGGAUUCUGCAGCUGCGCCCGUGGGGCCCUGAGACAUGCUGUUCAAAACGGCAAAGGGGGAAACUGCUGCACCAGUCUGCUGAAUCAUGGCAGGGGAGACGAUACUAACUCAUCUCGUUUUGGGGGCUGACACAGCAGCAGCAUCUUCAUCAUCUGAAUUUGGAACAGAGGAAGAAGCAUAACAGAAAUACAAAUCUCAUUUGACUUUCCCAUGCAGGAGAUGCAGUGCACCAGGCUACAGUUGGUGGGCGUUGUCAUGCACACUGCAGGAUUAGUAGACGGGGUUAUGACGGGCUGGAGAAUUAAACUCUGAGUAAGCUCAUAAUCACUGUGGCAUUCAGAUUCAGUAGGAAACACAUUAGACCACUGAAGGCCUGAAUAUAUUCCACUCUAGGAUUGCAUGAAGGCGACGCUGCAUCUGGCUCGAACUUCUUGCCUGGGAAACACAACAGAUCAGUCCCUGCGAACACAGAGCCAUCUGUGUCCCAGGAGAGGAUGCUGCUAGAGCCAGGGUCAACUGAUGAAAUGAUCUUAUUUCGUAAUGCAUUUUUAGUGUAAGGAAGUUGCAUGAAGCAUUAUGCUUGUAUAUGUGUUCAUAUACAGUAUUCAUAUGAUGAGACAGAUUCUGUUUUCACUCAACCAGUGAGUUGGCUCAUCAUACGUCUUUGGGCAGUGAUUACAAACAAGAACCAGAUCUCAGAUAAUGGCCCAGAGCUGCUAUAGACCAAAAUUAAAAUGAGCUCAUUGUUAUGUAUGCCAUCAUCUAUUUCACUCGGUGGCCCCUCCCCUGUCCAUUUCCCCGCUCCGCCUGCUGCACUAAUCCAGUAUUGGAAACACGGAGGAGGAGGAGGAGGAGGAGGAGGAUGUGGCUGACCGAUUCUAGAGGGUUCCAUCUCAUCCUACCUCCAUCCCUCGCUCCACCCGUAUCCCCUCCAGCGAGAGUCACCCUGUGUUAGCGUCAGUGUUUCCAGUAGAGCUGCAGGAGGUCGAGGGGAAAGCGGCAGUGUCCCAGCCAAGUCCAGUUCCCUCCUUCACCCACAUUCUUCCUCUUUUCCUCUUCACCUCUUCCAGCUCUCCGCCUUUUACAUAUUCAGCCAUUUCUACCUUCUUGUCUCCUUCUCUGUCUGUCCGUCUGUUUUCCCAAACUUCGUCUGCCGUUACUCUUGGCCUGUGAAGUGCAUGAUACUCUGCAGUGUGUGUGUGUGUGUGUACACUAGAUGUCAUGGUGUGCCCUGUCUUGGCAGUCCACUCUGAUUUGCUCGGUCUGCCUCCCCAGAGCUCAGAGACCGCAUGAAGACAGAGACAGAUGGAGAAAUAGCAGGGAGAGAGGUGUAGUCAGAAUAUGAACCAGACAAAAGACAGAAGGAUGAAGGAAAUGAAGAAGUAAAGUACAUAUCCAUAUAUGUGCCAAGUGCUGCUCAUUGCGGCAACCGUUGGGUUUCUCUAUGAUAUUGUGACGCCUCGACCUCACUAUGUAAAGAGCCCUGAGAUAAUGUAUGUUCUGAUUUAGUGCUAUACAAAAAAGUAGAAUUACAUUCAGUUAGCAGGCACUUUUUUUUCAAAGCGACUUAAAAUAAGUGCAUAUAGCAUGGAGCUAUUACCCCAAAUGUGCAAGAAUCAGUAGAGUACAUGAGCAGUCAUCAAAUAGAAUAGAAUUGAAUACAUCUCAAUUGUCGUCUGUCUGUCUGUCUGUCUGUCUGUCUGUCACGCACGCACGCACGCACGCACGCAUGCACACACGCACACACGCACACACGCACACACACACACACACACACACACACCCUUCUCCUGCAGUCACUAGUGACUAUAUGAAGCACAAGCCACAACAUUUUACAUUAGCAGAAUACAAUACCACGUCUCCAGGGUUCAACGUGUGUGUGUGUGUGUGUGUGUGUGUGUGUGACUGCACAGUCACAUUUAUCUAGGGGAAGUGAAUGACGUGUGUCAUUGAUUUCCAGUGGGAGCCGUGCCUUUGGCCCGGCUGCAGUUUGAUUUAUAAUGCCCACGUGUGUCUCUGCUUCUGCAAAAGGAAAUGCCUCUUUAUCUGUGGUUUUCAAGAAUGAAACGCCUUCACCGUCCAUCCUGUUGUAAUGGAAAUGAAGAAUAAAAAUACUUCUUAGCCAGUAUUCAACAGAUAACACAUUUGAAGUGAAGGGAAGAUUCUUCAAUAAAGUCAGUUUAGUUGAUUAAGGGUGUCCAAUGUAGACAACACUUAUUAAAUAUGUUUGUUUGCUUUGCUGCAGAAAGUUAGAUGAUCAAUAUCAAUAUAGCUCUAAUGUCUGUAUUAUAAAAUACAUAUGAACAACAACAUUCUGGAGUCUCCAUUGGCUGCAUGGCCCCAACAAGUGGGCACAACCCCUGUAAAGAACAUUUACAGGAUUGGUGGAGUUGGAGUUUUCAACAUCACUGGAAUUAUUACGUGAUGAAAUUAUGUUACUGAAUCGACUAAGAGAUGCAGAGAUUCCAAACAGUAGGAACAUCAUCGUUCGUGGUGUUUGUUUCAUUUUGCAUAAGACAGAAUAAAAACAAAAAAGGUGGACAGACACAAUGAGUCAGACGGAUCAGACACUUGAGCAUGUGGUCCGCUGGAGAAGAGCCAGGAGCCAGUGCUCCAGUCAUUCACACCUGUCCUGCCCAUGAGAACAAUAUGUGAUGUCUUCAGCGGCGAGGCUGCAGGAUGCUGAACAAGUGUACGUUUGGCUGCGUUCGGGUGUUAUGUCAACAUGAAGGCGUUCUGAGUUUACCUCACGAAGCUCCUGUGGAAACUGAUGACAGUGAGAGGGAACGUGAAGGGAGGGGCCUUUGGACGAGGUGCCUGUGGACGAGGUGCCUGUGGACGAGGGGCCUGUGGACGAGGGGCCUGUGGACGAGGGGCCUGUGGACGAGGGGCCUGUGGUCGAGGGGCCUGUGGACGAGGUGCCUGUGGACGAGGGGCCUGUGGACGAGGGGCCUGUGGUCGAGGGGCCUGUGGUCGAGGGGCCUGUGGACGAGGGGCCCGUGGUCGAGGGGCCCGUGGACGAGGGGCCCGUGGACGAGGGGUCUUUGGACGAGGGGCCUGUGGUCGAGGGGCCUGUAGACGAGGGGCCUGUGGUCGAGGGGCCUGUGGUCGAGGGGCCUGUGGACGAGGGGCCUGCGGUCGAGGGGCCCGUGGACGAGGGGCCCGUGGACGAGGGGCCUGUGGUCGAGGGGCCUGUGGACGAGGACUGGAGCCGUUACAUCCACCUUCCGUUGCCUCAAAGCAAAUUACAGGCUGAAAAAGAGUUUGUCUGGUACUUUUGGCAGUCACACACCCACACAAACUAAUAUCUGAUAUUCAAAAGAACAAAGUAAAAUAUAUAUUGGCAGUGAAGUCUUCUGUAUGUUCUGUUUGUUAAGAAUGUUCUUUUUUGAGCAUGGUUAUUUAAUGCCACAGAUAAAACGUCACAUCAAACACAUGAUGCUGAGUAACCGUGUCCAUUUUCACUUCCAGGGAAGUGAGUCAAGUCAAGUGGCACAACACUGCCCCCUUGAGACUUUCGAUCAAACUGCCAGUGUUUUUGCAGAGUGCAGGAAAACGAAGGCAGUCUCAUCCUCUCAUUGGCUGCGCUGCUCAUAUUAAAUAAGAGACCGUGACCUGAAAUCAGACAGAUCUGAACUCUUUACCCAUUUCACUCUGUUUCUGUUCUCAGUACAGUGCACACGGUCUCCAGAGCGGUCAGUGAAUGAGCAGAUUCAUUUCGAUGGAUCAGGCCUUCUGCUGUCAUGCCGGGCGCAGCAGACACACGACAGGGGACUGGGUUGGUUCUGGACCUGCAGUGUGUUUGUCCCGUGGUUAUAUCUGAGGCUGUUUAUAGAAACUAACCAACAUGAAGUGAAUGUGGCCAAUCAAUGAGCUCAAACUGAAAAGCCUCAAUCCUUUAUGGGCAGUGACAUCAUCAGUGGAACUUUAUUUGGGCAUUAAUAUUCUAAAUGUUCUGAUUUUGUAAUGCUGGUUGCAGAAGGGGAUUCAGUGUAUCUGUGCAUCGAUACAGCGAUUGUGGUAUUUUAUUUUGCCAUUUCCAGAAAGUUCUGCAGGUAGAGAGGUCACAUCGUUGAAAUCCUGGAUUUCCUGAGAGCUGAAAAAUAAUAUAUUCCUAUGGAGAAGGUUUGCCUGUUUUAAUAUUUCUGUGAUAUGCACAAAACAUAAGCCAAAAACAUUGUUUGGUUUG
This is a long non-coding RNA of Scophthalmus maximus (turbot), 4367 nucleotides long. RefSeq lists it as uncharacterized. The transcript has 3 exons. NCBI's taxonomy places the organism in Eukaryota, Metazoa, Chordata, Actinopteri, Pleuronectiformes, Scophthalmidae. The record is from RefSeq and is a predicted model, not a curated record.